GGCCUGAUGCCACGUCUCUGUUAGCCAUACCAGAGAUGUUAUGAUUAUGCCGGAACAAAGUUGUUCCAAUAUUUCACAUGUUGAUAGGAUCCUGGGGACCGCUUCUAUGUGUCCACAAUGUCGGUUAGUGUGAUUACAUUU
Zea mays is the source of this 141-nucleotide non-coding RNA. NCBI's taxonomy places the organism in Eukaryota, Viridiplantae, Streptophyta, Magnoliopsida, Poales, Poaceae. The record is from Rfam.